This is a long non-coding RNA of Callithrix jacchus (white-tufted-ear marmoset), 4024 nucleotides long. RefSeq lists it as uncharacterized. The record is from RefSeq and is a predicted model, not a curated record. NCBI's taxonomy places the organism in Eukaryota, Metazoa, Chordata, Mammalia, Primates, Cebidae.
UCCUGUUGAAAAAGAGAGCAAGUCAUAAAAUAUCUAGCAAGCAUCUCCCUACACAAAGCAUGUCACAGUGAACAACAGGCCUGGGGGACAAUGACUAAUCACAGAAAUAACGUCAUGAGUACCAUGUCAUGAGGAAAGGCGUCAGGGAACAUGAAAGGAGACACCGAUGGUGUCAAGGCAUCCUCCCACAUCUAAACUGACGCAGGCCAAGAGCUAAAGAACGUGCUGGAGGUCAGGCGCAGUGCUCAGCCCUGUAAUCCCAGCACCGAAAGGCUGAGGCGGGCAAAUCACAAGGUCAGGAGUUCCACACCAGCCAAUAUGGUGAAACCCCUUCUCCACUAAAAAUUCAAAAAAUUAGCGAGGUGUGGUGGUGCACGUCUGUAAUUGCAGCUACUUGCGGGGCUGAGAAUGUCUUGAACCUGGGGCAGACGUUGCAGUGAGCUGAGAUCACACCACUGCACUCCAGCCUGGGUAACAGAGUGAGAGAGUUUGUCUCAAAAAAAAGGAAGAAAAAGUGCUGAAAUCCACUAGGUGGAAGAGAAGGGAUAUAUGCCUUGCCCUGCGCUGUGAAGGACCCACAGUGCUGUGAGAGAAGGCAGCAGCGAGAGCAAGUGACAGGCAGAAGGAAGGAGGGUCAGGGUGGGGCCUCCUCGCAGGGCAUUGCAGGUGCUAUCUACCUUUGCGCUACCUUCUCCUACAAAGGGGCCAGGAGAAGGGGAGACCUGGUAGCAGGGCUCUGUGGCAUGAAUCAACUGAGGGGCAUGAAUCAUCAUCAAAUGAAAUGGUAGGAAAGGGAAAGGAUUCAGGGCUAACUGGGAAGUGAAGUUGCCAAGCUUGGUGGACGGGAUGAGGUGGUGAGGGACAGUCAAGAUGAGCUUCCAUUCGUGGAGAGGUGGGACUCCAGUGGGGAGCAGCAUGAAGGAAGUUUCACGAACUGUGAAACUGUGUUUGGAAACAAGCAGUCUGAGAGGCGGCUCUCUGAAUGUGAACGGCACUGAAACACAGGUCAUGUGCUGCAAUGGGGUGGCAAGAAGUGAGGAGAAGGGCUCCAGGGAGAGAGGAAAGGAAACGGAGGUGCAAACCCAGGAACCCCAGGGCAGCAUGUGUCCCAACCUCAAGAACUGUCCGGUAGCUGGGGAUACCAGGAACCCAAGCGCAGCCCCUUCUGUGCCCUAAAGGGUGAAGGGCUCUUUUGUCUUCUCAGUUCCCACCUUCAAGGCACCUUCAAAGUGCAUGGGGUACUAACUUGGGCACGUAGAUACAUAUUCAGAACAUACUUAAGAGGUUUAACUUCAAUAAACUCAGCCUAAGUUAGCCCAAAUUAGGGAUUUCACAGCACUGACUCUAGAAUGAAGAAAAAUCUGUCUUCUGUCUAGCUACCAGUGAAGGCCAACCCCUGCUCAUUUUCUCUUGGACACAGCGUGGACUCACUCCAUUCAAUGACAGUACGGGGACACACACAAAAAUCCUAGCAGAAUCUUAAGAAAAGCUGGAAUGUCUAUAGUCAUGCCCACCUAUAAGAUACCCGGAUCCCCUUGGUUUUUAGCUCAGCAAGUGCUCAGACUGUCAAAAUAGCAGAAAAUCAGCAGACUCCAAAGCAAAGGUGUGGCUCCCAAGGCCGAAAGCUGAGGGUUAAAAACUACAACGAGGUGGCUCACACCUGAAAUUCUGGCACUUUGGGAGGCCGAGGCAAGCAGAUCACGAGGUCAAGAGAUCGAGACUAUCCUGGCCAACAUGGUGAACCCCCAUCUUUACUAAAAAUACAAAUAGUUGGGCGUGGUGGUGGGUGCCUGUAGUCCCAGCUACUCGGGAGGCCAAGGCAGGAGAAAUCGCUUAAAGUCGGGAGGCGAAGGCUGCAGAGAGCUAAGAUCCUGUCACUGCACUACAGUCUGGGAGACAGAGUGAGACUCCGUCUCAAAAAAAAAUGCUUUAAGAGGUGCCUGAAAUACUUGGACACCGGGACAUCAGAAUAAAGAAAAAACGUUCAGGACUGUUAGAGAGCUAAAAUGUCUAUUAAUAGCAAGCAGGACAGAGAUUAACUGCAUAAACCGGACUAGCAGGAGACUGAAGUAAUCUUUCUAACUUUUUGCUUAAAAUGCUGCUAAUCCUUUGUUUUGCUUUUCAAAGUUAAAAGAAGCUUUUAAGUUAUUAACAGCUUUUAACAAUUAAAUAAAGUAUACUCCUCUGUAUGAACAAAACUUGGAACAUACUUGUUUCUCUCUACCUAAUUCAGAAUUUGGAAACAAUUUGUGUUUUUUGAGACCGAGUCUCACUCUGUCACCCAGGCUGGAAGGCAUGAUCUUGGCUCACUGCAAUGUCUGCCUCCUGGGUUCAAGUGAUUCUCCUGCCUCAGCCUCCCAAGUAGCUGGAACUAUAGGAAUGUGCCACUACGCCUGGCUAAUUUUUGUAUUUUUAGCAGAGAUGGAGUUUUACCAUGUUGAUCAGGUUGGUCUCAAACUCCUGACCUCAGGUGAUCCACCCUGCCCGGCCUGUUUGUAUGUAUUCUUAAUUUAUGGUAAUACAGUUAUUUGCUUAAGUACAACAUAAACUUGUUUUCUUUUGUAACAGAACAGAAAUAAAAUACUGGUUAUCUGCGGUGAGCAGAGAUUGUGCCAUUGCACUCCAGCCUGGGCAACAAGAGUGAAACUCCGUCUCAAAAAAAAAAAAAAAACCCAAGUGGUUAUUUUACCAAGGCGUUAACUGGAAUGGUAUGCUCUGCUUUAAGGAAUCCGACUGAACCAAAAAAGCCUUUAAAAACUGGCCUCAUACUCUGUGUGCAGUUCCUGUACAGGGCUUCUAACCUGUGUAAAAACAUGUCACUUUCUAACAGACCAGAAACCCCAUUAUCUUGCAACCUCAAGAGAAGAGGAAUUCACCCAACUCCCAAGUGUUCCAUGGUACAUAUCCAUGGCUGGGCUUGAGUGUAAGAAGGGAUUCCCUCAGACUCCUCCUGUGGAAGGAAGCUCCAUCGAAGCCCAUUUAAAAGGCCUACAUAAAAAAUUGUUAUUCUCGCUACACGGUAUAAAAUAAUUAGGCCAGGUACAAUAAAGCAAACCAGUCCUACCACAAUUUGUCUUUUAAUAAAAAUGGGAAGCUAAAAAAAAAAGUUUCAAAAACAGUAGUAUACCAAAAUAAUGUUGCCAAUUCUUUCCUUUCUCUAUUCCUUUUUCCUAAUUGGAAAUCACUGAAACCCAAAGCUGUGCUUUCCCAAAGCCCUAUAAACUGAAGACUAAACUUCUGAAGAAAACAGCAGAACCGACUUAUGUGUGCUGCUUGCUGCAGAUGGUUAGGUUUCAGCAGUGCUGCCCCUAAGCCCGCAAAACAGAAAAGUGCUCCUGGGAACAAAUGGACCUCUUCCACUCCAGCACCGUCUUCAGUGCCAGUUAACAAGCCUCUCUCAGCAGGAAGCAGCCAGGAAAGAUGGCAAUGCCCCAUCUCCCUAUGAUUCUCGUGAUAAAUAAAUACACAGGCAUGAUAAAACAUCACGUGCAAACUGACAGUGGGGACUGUGGCGGGUCUCCCUAACACAGGCCUCCGUAACAACUGUUUUAGUACUGACUGAGCAGUUAAGUUAAAUUAAAAGCCAGUGCCGUUAUACAAAGGCUCGGAUGUGAGAAAGUCCACCACAAGUUUUGCCUAGGCCUUUCCUGGGUCUUAAAACAACAAAAUAACGAAGAUAUUCUUAAUGUGACUCCUUUAAACAAGUUUCACCGGGGCCUAAAAAACUCCCCAACCCUCUGUGAUCUGGCAGAAGUCACAGGAAGGCUUCUUACUCCGGCACCUAACCCCAUGUAAAUUAAGUAAAUUUACUGAGGCUCCAGAGGAAGGUCUCCAUGACUCAAACCUUAGUUACAGAUUAAAAGUUAAUCACUUACAUCUUUAGAUAAAUGCACACUUACGCACAGACAUAUAACUUAAAAAGUAUAAAAGCUGAAAAACUCUGUAACUUUAAGUUGCUCUGGCAGUAAUUUCCAGGCCUUCUCCGUGCAACUGGCUGCAGAAAUAAAAACUUUCCUCCUCCUCA